GCCCGCUUAGCUCAUUGGUAGAGCGUCUGCCUAGUAAGCAGAAGGUAGCAGGUUCGAUCCCUGCAGUGGGCA
This is a transfer RNA of 72 nucleotides. It matches the Rfam family "tRNA". From Rfam's summary of the family: Transfer RNA (tRNA) molecules are approximately 80 nucleotides in length. Their secondary structure includes four short double-helical elements and three loops (D, anti-codon, and T loops). The record is from Rfam.